RNAcentral lists this ribosomal RNA (114 nucleotides) under Pogona vitticeps (central bearded dragon). Lineage: Eukaryota; Metazoa; Chordata; Lepidosauria; Squamata; Agamidae. The record is from RNAcentral.
UUGCCAUAUUACUCUAAACACACUCAAACCCCCCUGAUUUUGGAAGCUAGGCAAUGUCAGACCUGGUUGACACUUGGGUGGGAGACUGCAAGGCAUACCAAGAGGCCAGGAAAG